AGCUACAGGCUUAACACAUGCAAGUCGAGGGGCAUCAUGAAUCAAGCUUGCUUGAUUUGAUGGCGACCGGCGCACGGGUGCGUAACGCGUAUCCAACCUUCCCGUUACUCUGGGAUAGCCUUCCGAAAGGGAGAUUAAUACCGGAUGGUGUUUCAAGUUCGCAUGUAAUUGAAACUAAAGAUUUAUCGGUAACGGAUGGGGAUGCGUGACAUUAGAUAGUAGGCGGGGUAACGGCCCACCUAGUCUACGAUGUCUAGGGGUUCUGAGAGGAAGAUCCCCCACACUGGAACUGAGACACGGUCCAGACUCCUACGGGAGGCAGCAGUGAGGAAUAUUGGUCAAUGGUCGGGAGACUGAACCAGCCAAGUAGCGUGAAGGAUGAAGGUUCUAUGGAUUGUAAACUUCUUUUAUACGGGAAUAACACCAUCUACGUGUAGAUGUCUGCAUGUACCGUAUGAAUAAGCAUCGGCUAACUCCGUGCCAGCAGCCGCGGUAAUACGGAGGAUGCGAGCGUUAUCCGGAUUUAUUGGGUUUAAAGGGAGCGUAGACGGGAUGUUAAGUCAGUUGUGAAAUGCUGUGGCUCAACCAUAGCACUGCAGUUGAUACUGGCGUUCUUGAGUGCGUAUGAGGUACGUGGAAUUCGUGGUGUAGCGGUGAAAUGCUUAGAUAUCACGAAGAACUCCUAUUGCGAAGGCAGCGUACCAAUCCGUAACUGACGUUGAGGCUCGAAAGUGUGGUAUCAAACAGGAUUAGAUACCCUGGUAGUCCACACGGUAAACGAUGGAUACUCGCUGUUGGCGAUAUACUGUCAGCGGCCAAGUGAAAACGUUAAGUAUCCCACCUGGGGAGUACGCCGGCAACGGUGAAACUCAAAGGAAUUGACGGGGGCCCGCACAAGCGGAGGAACAUGUGGUUUAAUUCGAUGAUACGCGAGGAACCUUACCCGGGCUUGAACUGCGGUGGACCGGUCCAGAGAUGGGCUUUCCCUUCGGGGCCGCCGUGGAGGUGCUGCAUGGUUGUCGUCAGCUCGUGCCGUGAGGUGUCGGCUUAAGUGCCAUAACGAGCGCAACCCUUUCCGUCAGUUGCCAUCAGGUAAUGCUGGGGACUCUGUCGGUACUGCCAUCGUAAGAUGUGAGGAAGGUGGGGAUGACGUCAAAUCAGCACGGCCCUUACGUCCGGGGCUACACACGUGUUACAAUGGGGGGUACAGAGGGCUGCCACUCGGUGACGAGGCGCCAAUCCCGAAAACCUCUCUCAGUUCGGACUGGAGUCUGCAACCCGACUCCACGAAGCUGGAUUCGCUAGUAAUCGCGCAUCAGCCAUGGCGCGGUGAAUACGUUCCCGGGCC
RNAcentral lists this ribosomal RNA (1348 nucleotides) under uncultured bacterium. RNAcentral's name for it is "bacterial SSU rRNA". It matches the Rfam family "Bacterial small subunit ribosomal RNA", at positions 38 to 1380 of the family's 1533-position model. The record is from RNAcentral.